This 462-nucleotide ribosomal RNA is filed under the name uncultured bacterium. RNAcentral describes it as "partial 16S ribosomal RNA". It matches the Rfam family "Bacterial small subunit ribosomal RNA", at positions 339 to 795 of the family's 1533-position model. The record is from RNAcentral.
CUACGGGACGCAGCAGUGGGGAAUAUUGCACAAUGGGCGCAAGCCUGAUGCAGCCAUGCCGCGUGUAUGAAGAAGGCCUUCGGGUUGUAAAGUACUUUCAGCGGGGAGGAAGGGAGUAAAGUUAAUACCUUUGCUCAUUGACGUUACCCGCAGAAGAAGCACCGGCAACUCCGUGCCAGCAGCCGCGGUAAUACGGAGGGUGCAAGCGUUAAUCGGAAUUACUGGGCGUAAAGCGCACGCAGGCGGUUUGUUAAGUCAGAUGUGAAAUCCCCGGGCUCCACCGGGGAACUGCAUCUGGACUGGCCAGCUUGAGUCUCGUAGAGGGGGGUAGAAUUCCAGGUGUAGCGGUGAAAUGCGUAGAGAUCUGGAGGAAUACCGGUGGCGAAGGCGGCCCCCUGGACGAAGACUGACGCUCAGGUGCGAAAGCGUGGGGAGCAAACAGGAUUAGAUACCCCGGUAGUC